This 955-nucleotide long non-coding RNA is filed under the name Aquilegia coerulea. Its description in RNAcentral is "long non-coding RNA (ACOE_LNC001886)". Lineage: Eukaryota; Viridiplantae; Streptophyta; Magnoliopsida; Ranunculales; Ranunculaceae. The record is from RNAcentral.
CAGAAUACUUAAGACCCCAAAAGAUGCUUCAUGGAACCUCUUAGUCUUCAACUCUUCAUUUAAUUAUCUAUACUACAAGGACAUAUGAAUAGUUACUGGUGUUAUAUUAUGUUUGAGAGCAGAUAUAUUAAAACAAACAAACUUUACAAAAUUAGAUACCGCAGCGUUCUUUACUACAAUGAGAUAUGAAAUAAUUAACAAGAUCUUUACACACCAGUCAAUCGAUUCAAAAGUUUCAGAGUAAGAAGUAAAGAACUCAGAAUAUGAAGAUCAGUGCUAGUCAGGUUACCUUAUUAAUUUUCGGAAAAGGAAACAAACGCCAUUUAAAUUUUCCUAAGUUAACGAUGAAAGCAUUGAUGUUCGUCUCCAAACUUUUUGACUUCCAACGACAAACAUCCGUUACUGAUGAAAACUAGACUCAGAAUAGUUUCGUCAAAUCAUCAGAUGACUUAAUACUCAACUGCUAACAUCAGAUCUGACUUAAUAGUCAAUUCAUUGUUAGUAUGUUAAGAAAACUAGCCCCUAAUUAAUUACUUGUAAUACAAAAAGCAACUCACACACACACACACACAAAGAGAAGGAAAAACUAGUUCCACUAAGUAUGUUGAUGAUUCCUAUAUGUAGUCUGAAGAUUGAUUGGAGAUAUGGAGCACUAACGACACACUUGAUACAUGAACUGAUGAGACAGCUAAUAUGCUAGGAAACAGAAUUGAGCCUGAAAAAGUUUUGGUAGAAGCAAGUGUUUUCAUCAAAUAGCUCAAUCAGAAUUAGAUCAAUUACACUUAAUCAAGAAAAAGUUGUACGAUUAACUCAAGACUUAAUCAGUUGAAAAUUGAACAAAGAAAAAGAUGGAACAGUUGCGAAUACCCAUUGCUCCAAACAAAAGAAAUAUAGAGAAAAAACAAUGUUCAUUGAAGAAAUAACAAUGGAAACUCAGUAUAUAUAUAGAGCAGUA